UUUUUUCUUUUCUGAAACUUUCCUAUCCCCUCGCUUCUGUUCUGACUACUCGAGGAGAUCCCUGCACACAUUGCUACACCGAGCUGAGCUUCGUGAGAAAAUGGCGACGGCGGCCUCGGUGAUUGAGCUCGCGGCGGCGGCCUCGAAGGAGCUCGCGACGGCUUCCUCGGCGAUUGAGCUCGCGGCGCGGCCUCGACGGAGCUCGCGGCGGCGUCGUCGACGAAGCUCGCGACGCGGCCUCGGCGAUUGAGCUCGCGGGGCGGCCUCGACGGAGCUCGCUGCAGUGGCGGCGGCCUCGACGGAGCUUACGGCUGCGGCCUCGGAGAUUGAGCCUGCGCUGCAGCGUUGUCGAUUGAGCUCCCGACCACGGAAGUGCACUGUCGAUUGAGCUUCUCGGGGGCCAAAUCGUUGUGCGCUCGCCGCCUGGAUGCGGGAGAGGCCGUCGCUGCGGCAAGGAAGCGCACAAGGAGAGGGGGAGCGGGCGCUAGGUACUGACUGCAGGAGCAUGGAGCUCUGCUCGGCAUCGACGUGAAAGAUUGCAGAUUCAAGUUGUACCAGUACUAGAUACCUGUUGAAGAGAAUGUAGGAGGAGCUUCUUCCAUGCUGAAAGAAGAAUGCUGUUCUGGAUUGUAAUCCACGCAAAGGAAAUUUCUCACGGGGUGCUGGAAGAUCGCCUUCGGCAACUAGCCUGUGCGAGCGUGCCGGAAGAUCGCUUCUAGCCACUAGCUUGUUCUCAAUUUCUUUGAUCUCUAGGGCUGCAACUUCCGGCAAGAUUGGUACGAGAAACUAAUCACGUGGGAAGGAGAUUCUGGGAUGGUAUUGUUUGGCGGGUAGAAAAAAAUCUUUUAGCUAAGUUUAUGGAGAUUAACUGCAAUCAGGAAGGUACGUUGUGUUAUUUGAGAGGUGGGGCCUGCCAGGACAGGUGUCUCUUAUUUAUUGGACCUGCAGGAUAGUGCGUGCAGGGCUCCCUGCAGGAGAGCCGAACCCCUAAGAUAGAGAGACGAUAGAGUAUAGUGUUACGGUUGUGGUGGGGGCCGCGGGGCUAUGCGAGCCUUGGCACAGCUAGGGGGCGGGGAAUAGGGGAAAUAUGGAUCUAAAGGGGGGUAAAGGGGCGUUCUCAAUUUCCAAUUACCUGUAAUGUGAGUGAGAAAACAAAAUAACAACAAUUAGACGCGUCUCGCCCCCCCCCCCCCACAGAUCACAUUUUUGGUAUUUAGGUAUUUAACCGCCAAACUUAGUUUGGAUGUUUUUAUUGCCAUGGUAGCAUGUUGCUUCUGACAUUAGUGUGCAGCAAACAAGUCUGGAUAUUUUUACUGCCAUGCCUCUGAGCUCUGACUAUUUGAGCUGAUCAUUCCAAUGAGUUUGUGCAGCAGGUUUUUAAAUUUUGAUUCAGUUUUUCAGGGUUUGGUUUCAAAUUUUGAACUACUUUUGACCCCUGUUUUUGAUCAAUAUCCUGAGUUAUUGACCUAUAUACUCAUUUUAAUUUUGCGUCAUGAAGUGUUUUAUGAGCUGCUUAGAGGGGGUGCGUUAGAUUAAUGAUAACAACGAAAGGCUCGAGCAAGAGAUGAGGAUUAUUGUGCUGUUGUGAUUGUUCUGUUCGAGCGGUCCAAAAUACUUGCUAAAAAAUUGCUGCAUUUUUAUUAGUCUGAUCCAGAUGAGAUGAAGUCAUUUUGUAGUCAGUACUCGCUGGGUUAGGUAGUGGUUCCCUUGUUAGGCUUCUAUAUGAUAGUUCUUUAUGUUUAUUGUAAGAGAAGAAGUGCAAGGUAAAUUACCAGUUAUUUUAAUCUAUUGGCACCUGGUUUCUCUAUGACAAAAGUAACUUUCUGAUGCACACUAGCUUGGUGCUCUAACUGAUUGAAUGCUUAUGGGAAUUGUUGUGAAUAGUCAGAUCUGCGGUGAUCCAGGAAGGAGAAGGUCGGGACGAGAGUAGGUCGAGGACAGUGGACACAUCUAUUUUAGUGGAAUUGUCAAGAGAAGAUCUGUGGUGGUCGAGGAAGGAGAAGUGCGGGAUGAGAACGGAUUGAGGACAGCAGAUGUAUCAUUAUUUGAGUGGAAUUGGUCAUGAGAAGAUAGUACCAACUUCUUGGACUUCCGAGAUACUGACAUGACAUGAAUAGGAGGUUCUUUUCUCCAUCUCCAGCACCCUGGCAUCGCAUAUGUACAGUUCACGCCAACGGCUCCCUGUAUUGGUGAGUUCUUUGGAGCUGAUUAUGCCAAAAAAAAAUAUGUAUAUUUUGUCUUAAGCAUUUCCUUUAGAUUUAGCUAUGUAUCCUUCUGUAUCACUAUUUUCCUUCCUGACUAGAUAAAUUCAAAUAUAUUCAAAAUUUGACAUAUAGCAUAGAAAUGAGACAUGUUGUCGGGUUGCGAUCGCUGGAUUGCAGGUGUACAUGUCCGCCAUAACCAUGUUCCAAUCCCAAACCUUUAUUUGCACCCAUGGUUUUUGUACAUACGGAAUGCUAACAUCGCCGAACUGAUAAGUAUAGGUGCAGUACAAGUGUACAACGGAUUAGCUAGCAGGUAUUGUAAGUUAUAAGUUCUUGUGCUAAAAUUCCCAUUCCGGAAUGUUGCAUAGAUAAUUUUUAUUUCCCUCAUUAAUUCAUGCAAAUAGUACAACAUUCUAUAGAUGAACAUUUGUGAUUACACUGUAUAUUUAGACAUCUAUAUGAGAUUAUAUAAUUCCGCCCUUUCUUAUCC
This is a non-coding RNA of Lolium perenne, 2694 nucleotides long. Lineage: Eukaryota; Viridiplantae; Streptophyta; Magnoliopsida; Poales; Poaceae. The record is from RefSeq and is a predicted model, not a curated record.